This 462-nucleotide ribosomal RNA is filed under the name uncultured bacterium. RNAcentral describes it as "bacterial SSU rRNA". It matches the Rfam family "Bacterial small subunit ribosomal RNA", at positions 30 to 484 of the family's 1533-position model. The record is from RNAcentral.
AUUGAACGCUGGCGGCGUGCCUAACACAUGCAAGUCGAGCGGUAACAGGUGUAGCAAUACAUGCUGACGAGCGGCGAACGGGUGAGUAAUGCUUUGGAAUCUUCCCAGUAGUGGGGAAUAACCAGUCGAAAGAUUGGCUAAUACCGCAUACGUCUGUAAAGGGAAAGCGGGGGAUCGCAAGACCUCGCGCUAUUGGAUGAGCCAAAGUCGGAUUAGCUAGUUGGGGGGUAAUGGCCUACCAAGGCGACAAUCCGUAGCUGGUCUGAGAGGACGACCAGCCACACCGGAACUGAGACACGGUCCGGACUCCUACGGGAGGCAGCAGUGGGGAAUAUUGGACAAUGGGGGAAACCCUGAUCCAGCGACGCCGCGUGUGUGAAGAAGGCCUGCGGGUUGUAAAGCACUUUUAGUGGGGACAAAAAGCUACGGAUUAAUACUUCGUGGUCUUGAUUUAACCCAAAG